This 209-nucleotide ribosomal RNA is filed under the name uncultured bacterium. RNAcentral's name for it is "partial 16S ribosomal RNA". It matches the Rfam family "Bacterial small subunit ribosomal RNA", at positions 524 to 732 of the family's 1533-position model. The record is from RNAcentral.
UACAGAGGAGCCAAGCGUUGUCCGGAUUGACUGGGCGUAAAGCGCACGCAGGCGGUCGCGCGCGUGGGGUGUGAAAUCUGGCCGCUUAACGGCCAGGCGCCAUCCCAUACGGCGCGACUGGAGGUGAUGCAGAGGUCGGUGGAAUUGCCGGUGUAGUGGUGAAGUGCGUAGAGAUCGGCAGGAACACCCAGGGGGAAACCAGCGACUGG